Malurus melanocephalus (red-backed fairy wren) is the source of this 1766-nucleotide long non-coding RNA. RefSeq lists it as uncharacterized. NCBI's taxonomy places the organism in Eukaryota, Metazoa, Chordata, Aves, Passeriformes, Maluridae. The record is from RefSeq and is a predicted model, not a curated record. The transcript is spliced from 6 exons.
UUUAAUGAAGUUUACUCACUGGGACACCAUGGAAAGUCUUUGAACCUGAAAAGGAGGGAGAGGGACCAGCAAGUAGAUGAUGUGCCAGGCUUGUGUCCCUYUCAGCUUUACUGCUCAGUUCCAGACUUUGGGCUGCAGGAGAAGAGAGCUGCUGCUGCUUCUUUCAACCUGCUGAACGAUGUUCAAUCCAGAUGACAACCAGAAGAACACGGAGGUUUUGUAAUAUUAGCUGGGCCAUGCAGGAGCUCUUUGGCAGAGGAGGUGGCCUCCUGAGGGAGCUGUACAACAGCUACACCAGGAGAGAACCCUGCACAGGACACAACAGCUUUUAAAAUGUUAUCAGGGACUACCAGAAAACACCACCACAAACACUCUGAAACACAGGAAGGAAUCCACCAGUUCCAGGAAGACAGCAAGGAUCAAAAGAGCAACGUGCCAGGUAACUGUUAGGCUAAUGGGAAGCAGAGGACAUUCCUAACAUCCCACAAAUCUUCAGCAAAGACCAUGGAAGAAGAGUGCAAAGACACUGAGAAGACAUCACUUCUUAUGUUAACUCAGGAUAAGAAUGAAGCCACUCUCGCCAGCAGAGCGGGUGGGGGAGGUGACACAUCUCCUGCUGCAGCUCAGCCCCCCGUGUUUGUCACAGCUGGCAGAGAGGUGAGACAUCCAUCUCACCAUCCUACCCAGUGAAGGAGAAAGAAGGUGAUUCCUGACCAUCUUCAUCAGCCCUGCAGCUGCCCCAUGGCCUCAAAUAGCCUUUCCCUCUUCCCACCCUCAAAAUGCAACCACUGCCCCAUUCCUCCCUCUCCCUGAGAGGAGAAUUGUCAGUUGUGGUCUCUGAGGGAAGAGCACUGCCCCAGCCAGCCUGGAAUAAAGCUGGAGUGGAGAAUCAAAGCCCAGAUCCAGGCAGAUACUUUGCAGUAACCUAAGAUCCAAUGAACAUCUGGGGAGAUUUUUCAAAGGAGCCAGCAAAUACUCCUGGGUAGGGGCUGUUGCUCCAUCCUGACCCACAGGGGAGCUGCAUUCACACACACACAGGUGGGCCAAACCAGCCCAAACAGGGUGGAAACAGCCAAGCCACUGUUGCCAGUGCUGGCUGCAGCAGCAGAUGGUACACAGCAGAUGGGAUGCCCUGUGCCAACAGCCCCAAGCCUGGAGCAGGCAGCAGCUCCUUGGAGAGCUGAGCAACAGCAAGGCCAGGCACUGAGUCAGACCAUGGCAAGGAGGCUUCUUCCAGAGCAGGAUGAGAUGGAGCAGUAGGUAUGUAAGAUGUUUUUGUUUUUUCCUGAUGUUAUUCUCAUUUUCCCAGGUUCAGACAGCCGUCUGCCAUGUGCUUUAACCAGACACUAAGAUGUGAACCAUGGGCUGGCAUUGCUGUCAUGGGCAAAGGGACAAUGCCAUGCCAUGGGGCCGUGCCAGCCCAUUCCCACAGGGAUUUUGCAUGGGGUGAAGUAGGUUGGGACUGGGUGAAGGAUGCUCUGGCUCUGGCCCCCUACCAAAGGAGGAUUUGUCCAUUACAGUCUCGCUUUUGGGGUGUGGCCUGAAAGGGAGCAUUGGAAUAUUUGUUGGGGAGUUUCCACAUUUUUUACGAAACCCUUGGGUUUUCCUUACCUUGAAUUUGGGAGUAGAUAGCUUAGUAAGCAAUUUUGCGGGUGCCUGGCUCCAAGGUGAUGCUUCUCCCCCGUUGGUUUGUAAAUGCUAUGGAAUGAGUGGUAUAUUUACCUAUUUCUGAGCAAAGGGGAAGCUGUGGUGCAGUUUACCUGAGG